CUGACUUUUACAGAUUCAUUACUGAUUCUGUAAGUUAUUUUCCAUAGCCAAGUGCUAUCAAUAGUUAGCAUUUUUAUUUCAGGUGCUCGAAUUUAGAAAUGGUUGGACGGAGGAAAGCGCAAACCAAACAUGUCAGGAGCGCCUUAAACAUGUUGUACCGUCCGAAUUGUUCGGAGAUAUAGCUGGGGCAUCGGAUAUAGAUUUCAUUAGGACUUGCAUAAUGGAUAUAAAGAUAACUGGCGACACAACUUUUAUACAAGACACUGCAAGAGCAAUGCAAACUAUCACACUUGUGGAAGCUUAUAGAAAUGAAACUCUCUCUAUAAUGAAAACAGACAAUGGGACACAAACCAUCUUAGAAUAUGCCACAAGUUUUCUAUGCUCAAACAAUUGUUCAGGAAGCGGAAACUGUACAUCAGGUUCUUGCUACUGUUUUGACGGAUUUGUAGGCCAGGAUUGUUCUCAAAAGAUCUCUGUUCCUCCUUCCAAUAUAAGUAUUCCGCAAAAUGGAUUAUGUGGUACACGUUCCCGUGCAUGUAGGAGGACAAAUAUAUAUGGAAUAUUUCCGACAUCAGAUGUAUGGUGUAAAAGGAACCAU
Molecule: long non-coding RNA, 598 nt
Organism: Mytilus californianus (California mussel)
Lineage: Eukaryota; Metazoa; Mollusca; Bivalvia; Mytilida; Mytilidae
Exons: 3
Source: RefSeq, a predicted model, not a curated record